UCGGACUGGAGUCUGCAACCCGACUCCACGAAGCUGGAUUCGCUAGUAAUCGCGCAUCAGCCACGGCGCGGUGAAUACGUUCCCGGGCCUUGUACACACCGCCCGUCAAGCCAUGGGAGCCGGGGGUACCUGAAGUGCGUAACCGCGAGGAUCGCCCUAGGGUAAAACUGGUGACUGGGGCUAAGUCGUAACAAGGUACC
Molecule: ribosomal RNA, 200 nt
Filed under: uncultured bacterium
Lineage: Bacteria
Description: partial 16S ribosomal RNA
Rfam family: Bacterial small subunit ribosomal RNA
Source: RNAcentral